RNAcentral lists this ribosomal RNA (2890 nucleotides) under Klebsiella pneumoniae. RNAcentral describes it as "23S ribosomal RNA". It matches the Rfam family "Bacterial large subunit ribosomal RNA". The record is from RNAcentral. Lineage: Bacteria; Pseudomonadati; Pseudomonadota; Gammaproteobacteria; Enterobacterales; Enterobacteriaceae.
GGUUAAGCGACUAAGCGUACACGGUGGAUGCCCUGGCAGUCAGAGGCGAUGAAGGACGUGCUAAUCUGCGAAAAGCGUCGGUAAGGUGAUAUGAACCGUUAUAACCGGCGAUGUCCGAAUGGGGAAACCCAGUGUGAUUCGUCACACUAUCGUUAACUGAAUACAUAGGUUAACGAGGCGAACCGGGGGAACUGAAACAUCUAAGUACCCCGAGGAAAAGAAAUCAACCGAGAUUCCCCCAGUAGCGGCGAGCGAACGGGGAGCAGCCCAGAGUCUGAAUCAGCUUGUGUGUUAGUGGAACGGUCUGGAAAGUCCGACGGUACAGGGUGAUAGUCCCGUACACCAAAAUGCACAGGUUGUGAACUCGAAGAGUAGGGCGGGACACGUGGUAUCCUGUCUGAAUAUGGGGGGACCAUCCUCCAAGGCUAAAUACUCCUGACUGACCGAUAGUGAACCAGUACCGUGAGGGAAAGGCGAAAAGAACCCCGGCGAGGGGAGUGAAAAAGAACCUGAAACCGUGUACGUACAAGCAGUGGGAGCACCUUCGGGUGUGACUGCGUACCUUUUGUAUAAUGGGUCAGCGACUUAUAUUCUGUAGCAAGGUUAACCGUAUAGGGGAGCCGCAGGGAAACCGAGUCUUAACUGGGCGUUAAGUUGCAGGGUAUAGACCCGAAACCCGGUGAUCUAGCCAUGGGCAGGUUGAAGGUUGGGUAACACUAACUGGAGGACCGAACCGACUAAUGUUGAAAAAUUAGCGGAUGACUUGUGGCUGGGGGUGAAAGGCCAAUCAAACCGGGAGAUAGCUGGUUCUCCCCGAAAGCUAUUUAGGUAGCGCCUCGUGAACUCAUCUUCGGGGGUAGAGCACUGUUUCGGCUAGGGGGUCAUCCCGACUUACCAACCCGAUGCAAACUACGAAUACCGAAGAAUGUUAUCACGGGAGACACACGGCGGGUGCUAACGUCCGUCGUGAAGAGGGAAACAACCCAGACCGCCAGCUAAGGUCCCAAAGUCAUGGUUAAGUGGGAAACGAUGUGGGAAGGCACAGACAGCCAGGAUGUUGGCUUAGAAGCAGCCAUCAUUUAAAGAAAGCGUAAUAGCUCACUGGUCGAGUCGGCCUGCGCGGAAGAUGUAACGGGGCUAAACCAUGCACCGAAGCUGCGGCAGCGACACUAUGUGUUGUUGGGUAGGGGAGCGUUCUGUAAGCCUGCGAAGGUGACCUGUGAGGGUUGCUGGAGGUAUCAGAAGUGCGAAUGCUGACAUAAGUAACGAUAAAGCGGGUGAAAAGCCCGCUCGCCGGAAGACCAAGGGUUCCUGUCCAACGUUAAUCGGGGCAGGGUGAGUCGACCCCUAAGGCGAGGCCGAAAGGCGUAGUCGAUGGGAAACAGGUUAAUAUUCCUGUACUUGGUGUUACUGCGAAGGGGGGACGGAGAAGGCUAUGUUAGCCGGGCGACGGUUGUCCCGGUUUAAGCAUGUAGGCUGAUUAUCCAGGCAAAUCCGGAUAAUCAAGGCUGAGGUGUGAUGACGAGGCACUACGGUGCUGAAGUAACAAAUGCCCUGCUUCCAGGAAAAGCCUCUAAGCAUCAGGUAACAUCAAAUCGUACCCCAAACCGACACAGGUGGUCAGGUAGAGAAUACCAAGGCGCUUGAGAGAACUCGGGUGAAGGAACUAGGCAAAAUGGUGCCGUAACUUCGGGAGAAGGCACGCUGGUGUGUAGGUGAAGUCCCUGCGGAUGGAGCUGAGACCAGUCGAAGAUACCAGCUGGCUGCAACUGUUUAUUAAAAACACAGCACUGUGCAAACACGAAAGUGGACGUAUACGGUGUGACGCCUGCCCGGUGCCGGAAGGUUAAUUGAUGGGGUUAUCCGUAAGGAGAAGCUCUUGAUCGAAGCCCCGGUAAACGGCGGCCGUAACUAUAACGGUCCUAAGGUAGCGAAAUUCCUUGUCGGGUAAGUUCCGACCUGCACGAAUGGCGUAAUGAUGGCCAGGCUGUCUCCACCCGAGACUCAGUGAAAUUGAACUCGCUGUGAAGAUGCAGUGUACCCGCGGCAAGACGGAAAGACCCCGUGAACCUUUACUAUAGCUUGACACUGAACAUUGAGCCUUGAUGUGUAGGAUAGGUGGGAGGCUUUGAAGCGUGGACGCCAGUCUGCGUGGAGCCAACCUUGAAAUACCACCCUUUAAUGUUUGAUGUUCUAACGUUGGCCCCUUACCGGGGUUGCGGACAGUGUCUGGUGGGUAGUUUGACUGGGGCGGUCUCCUCCCAAAGCGUAACGGAGGAGCACGAAGGUUAGCUAAUCCUGGUCGGACAUCAGGAGGUUAGUGCAAUGGCAUAAGCUAGCUUGACUGCGAGCGUGACGGCGCGAGCAGGUGCGAAAGCAGGUCAUAGUGAUCCGGUGGUUCUGAAUGGAAGGGCCAUCGCUCAACGGAUAAAAGGUACUCCGGGGAUAACAGGCUGAUACCGCCCAAGAGUUCAUAUCGACGGCGGUGUUUGGCACCUCGAUGUCGGCUCAUCACAUCCUGGGGCUGAAGUAGGUCCCAAGGGUAUGGCUGUUCGCCAUUUAAAGUGGUACGCGAGCUGGGUUUAGAACGUCGUGAGACAGUUCGGUCCCUAUCUGCCGUGGGCGCUGGAGAAUUGAGGGGGGCUGCUCCUAGUACGAGAGGACCGGAGUGGACGCAUCACUGGUGUUCGGGUUGUCAUGCCAAUGGCACUGCCCGGUAGCUAAAUGCGGAAGAGAUAAGUGCUGAAAGCAUCUAAGCACGAAACUUGCCCCGAGAUGAGUUCUCCCUGAGACUUUAAGUCUCCUGAAGGAACGUUGUAAGCGUCAACGGAGCACCGUAUUGACGCUUAUUUAUUGGUGAGUACUACGUUCCAUGGCAGGAGUUCAUCAA